CUACAUAUACUCCGCACUCUUGCAUCUUUUGCUCACUCCAAUGCGUCUGGCAGGAUAAUAGAACCUUCAAAACUGUCUGGCUACUUCAGAAACUUUGUUUGAAUAAUUCCCCAAAAAAUAUGUAUUAAAUUCAGAUUUUACAAAAUGACGUUGAAAAAAGUAUACCUUUAUUACCUGCUACCUGCCAAAGCAACCACUGCCUGAGUACCAUAGGUGGGGAUCGUUCCUACCUGUACUAGAGGCAUAUUUACAGAAACUUUCAGCUUUUACAAAAUAAGGUAUGUCUGGCGUUCACGGGCUCUUGCUCUAUUACGAUAAUCGAUUUAACAUACUUGGAACACUUUAAUGGUUUAAAUUUUAAUCAUUUUAUGUGCCGUUUUUAAAUUUUAAAUAUUUUGAUAAUUCUAUUUUAUAUGUAUUUCGUAAAAAAUAUCAAAAUCGGGUCAGUGAUUUAUGCGUGAAAGCGUAACAGACAGAGUUACAUUCGAAGCAUCAACGAACAGGAGCAGGUGCAGAAUAUAUUUAGUACUUAUGGUAUAAAUAGCUUUUCCUUGAUAAACAAAAAAAAAACAGAAAUCACUCUCCUAGCAAAUUUUGAGCGAGUCACAAUUUUUUUUUAACUUACAUAUUAAUAUAAUCACAUCUAUAUACCUUGCGGGGUAGAGGGUCUGUAUCUGUUAACAUGAAAAAAUAUGUAGUUUACCGUGUUAUGGCAUAUUUUUGAAACAUUACGUAAUACCUAAAUAGGUAUAAUUCUCUUUUAGGUUAGGUAAGUUAUGCUUUAAAUAGUUAUGCGAAAACCAUUAUGCGAAAGAAAUAUAUACAUAUAUAUAUGUACAUUUACCCGUAUGAUAAAAAUGAAUUAUGCAUAAGAGCUAUUAUGCUAAUAUAUUGUAUGCCUAAACCGUUUUGCCAUUAGGACUUUAUAAAAGAAUAUGAGGACAAAAUAAUUUGAACGAAAGAAAGUGGCCCACAGGGGGUAGCAGUCUCGAAUAGACUGAAAGGUCACGUUCAGUUGUUUGGCUUUAGAUGAUAUAUUACCCCUGGCUGGUAACUAUAGAGGUAGUGUACGCGAUAAGUUAACUGUACAUGCUACGUUUGUUGUAGUCUUUGCAUGGUAAGCGUAAAAUUUUUUUAAACGUGUGUAGGGAUUUAAUAUAUAAAGGUAAUCUUUAUGCGAUUCAAUAUAUACAGAAUGAGGAUAUAAUGUAAUACUAGCGUUCUCCCCCGGCUCCGCCCGAGUGAAAUGUACCCUAUGUUUACACUUUAUGUAAGUAGGUACUUAUGCAAAAUUUCAUGGCGAUCGGUUUAGUGGUUUUGACAUGAAAGACGAACAAACAAAGGCACUUUUACAUUAAUGUUUUGUUUGUUUUGAUGAUUUGAUGAGUUUUAAUUUAUUAUGUAAGGACAGAGGAAAUCAGGCGUCUUUAGCUUCAUCACUUUGCGAACGUGUGUUUUAAUUACGCACUGCGGGACUAAAGUGCUGGCCAGAAUAUCAAGUUAUUUUGGAUGGAACUCUAUGACGCGGUAAUAUAGUCGAAUUUGCAGCCAAUUUGGGUAGAUUGAUAUGCUGCUGUAAAAAACAUGACGUGUCCGUUGCUUAUUUACUAAAUUCAAAAUUUAUACCUAUUCAUUAUUAUAGGAUACUUCUAUCGCUUAAUAAUUGUCAUAUCGUUGGUUUCACAACUUGGUUGACGUCAAAUAAAUUACUUAAAACUAAGUUUACUGCCGCUUCCAAAACGUCAGUGCAGAAGAAGCGGUAACAAACUGCUCUGCAGCAUUUUCUUCAAUAACGUCAACUUCACAGCUAUCCAAACUUAGAAUAGAAAUGUAGACGAGAGAAUGCAUUGUUCAAAUUGAUUUAUAUGAGAUCUUAAUAAUAAAAAAAACUGUUGCAUAGGAUUGUUCUACAUCCUCACCAACAGCCCCACUAUUGGGGUAAAAAUCUUAUAAUUCUGAAUAAGAACUGCCUCACAAAUUCGUUUGUCGUUUAAAUUUUAUGUACUCUGUCUACCUCACUAGGGUCGGCACCAAAGAAAUCUAAAUAAUAUAAGGCAAUAAAAAUGUCAGUGUACUUUGAAUUAUAGCAUUGUUAUGACAACGUAAUGAAGAUCUGUAAACCCAAUGAUUAGUAUUGUUUCAUUUUAUUCAGAAUACCUACUAUGGUCAGCACUGUUGAAUUUUGUGUUACCAAUAUUGUGAUUUUUAUCUAUUUUAAGUGUGUGUUUUUUACUCACUUGUAUUUCUGAUUUCUUGAUUGAACUGCCCUAAUAAGGUAGUUCAAUUGAAAAGGCAUUCCACUUUGCUCCAAUCGUAACACAGUCCAAUACAAUGCCACAUCUAGUGUGGCUAAGAAGUAAUAAAACAUUGGACCCGUUUUUGAUGUAGAUACUACGUAGGAUGUCAUAAAUUAUUAUCUUGUUGUUCAGAUUCUAAGUGUGUUACCUCUUGUUGAUUAUGUUCAAAUAUAUUUAUGUAAUAUAAAAAACAAUGACAUUCCUGUGAUUGUAAUUUCUUGUUGUUGAUAAUAAAGUUUGAAUUGAAUAAUUGAUUUGAA
Molecule: long non-coding RNA, 2557 nt
Organism: Amyelois transitella
Lineage: Eukaryota; Metazoa; Arthropoda; Insecta; Lepidoptera; Pyralidae
Exons: 2
Source: RefSeq, a predicted model, not a curated record